CACGUAGGGUGCGAGCGUUGUCCGGAAUUAUUGGGCGUAAAGAGCUCGUAGGCGGUGUGUCGCGUCGGCCGUGAAAACCUGCAGCUUAACUGUGGGCUUGCGGUCGAUACGGGCAUCACUGGAGUUCGGCAGGGGAGACUGGAAUUCCUGGUGUAGCGGUGAAAUGCGUAGAUAUCAAGAGGAACACCUGCGGCGAAGGCGGGUCUCUGGACAGUUCCUGACGCUGAGGCACGAAGGUCAGGGGAGCAAACGGG
RNAcentral lists this ribosomal RNA (254 nucleotides) under uncultured bacterium. RNAcentral describes it as "partial 16S ribosomal RNA". It matches the Rfam family "Bacterial small subunit ribosomal RNA", at positions 524 to 776 of the family's 1533-position model. The record is from RNAcentral.